GGUUUGUGUUGCUAUGUGACCAGGGUUGGUCGCAUCCGUAUGGUUUAAAAUUGUGAAAAAUGAGCUAAAUGAACUCGAAAACUCGUGUAUUUAUUUUAGUGUUCAUUUUAGCCUGGCUUUCAGAGAGCAUGCUCAGAAUGAUAAGAGACAGUAUUCCAGAUUUAUUAUGAAUGUAAAAGAUUGUGUCACUAAAAAGCCAUACUAUAAAUACUAGUCAAUGUGGGUCCUGAUAAGAUAUACUAACACGUGUCUUAAAUGCAGGGAAAAUAAAGGUGAUUACGUACAUGUUAAUGUUUGCAUUAAAAAGUAAUUUUAUUGCCAUCCAAAAUAAUAGUGUAUGUGCUAAAAUACUAAAUGCAAUAAAAAAAUAUAUAAAUGGCAGCUUUGAAGCUUGUGAAAUUACUAUUUUCUUUGGUGCUGUGGUUUAUUCACAGUAGCAGUAGAGUCUAAAACAUGUUUUUCAAAGACUUACUGUAUAUAUUGUACAUACAAGCUAAAUUGGCUGGUAUGUUUUCUCCAAAUUAGAUAUUACACAUUACACAUACUGGGAAAUACCAAAUAUUGUCUACCUUGAAAAAAUGACAAAACCAUGGAAACCCUUUAGUUUUCGCUGAAAAGUGUUCUUAGUAAAAUUGUUUUUAAAAAAGUCCACAGACACAAACACACACUAAUACUGAAAAGGAGAGAGGGGAGGCCACUUCCUCUUCUUAUACUGUAGUGUAGCAGUGUCAGUGAUGCAAGGAAACCGUUGACAUGAAAGAAUGUUUCUCAAAAUUCAUGGGAAAAAAAUACUUCAACAAAAUUAAAACAAAAAUUCAAAAGCUGUUGUACAGACCUAGAAACAGUUUAAUUAAAAUAGACUGAAACCUAAACCAGUCGAGGCUACAUAAAAAGACAGGGCCACUGUUUUGGCAUAGUUUAUAUAAACUAAAAUCUGUUAUACUCUUACAAAAGUCUUAAUAACAAAAUACUUUUUUUAAUCUCAAAUUUUAGAAAAUGUUGCUCAGGCUUCUAGUUAACGUGGCUAUCUUGUUAACACACUCAUACUAAGUAAGUAAAUGUAUUAAUUUAAUGAGCCAUUUCUUUUUGUCGCUACAUCAUACAAGCUCUCUUGGACAGACCGGAUGUUUUAAGUUAGGCUCUUCCUUUCUGUGUAACUUCCAUUUUUGUUGUGUUUGGUUCAGUGUGUGUUUCGGAAGCUGCAGGAACCAAAACUGUCAUUCGGCUGCGGCUCUGCCAAUACAAUUAUGACUAGCUGUAUCCAGGCCAAAGAUGAACACAAUCACAAACAGAACCACUUUGGGACCCAUAUGACAACCCACAGCAGCAGAACACAACGGCGGAGUUGAUUCAAAAUACCAAGAAAUGAAUAGUGGAUUACAGGUGCGCAAUGACACAGACUGUAGCCUCACUUGUGAAAUUACCUGUGCAAAAUUUUAACUAUUUAACUAAAGAUUUGUCUUAUUUUUCUCUGUUAUUCUAGGAAAUUUUUAAGCAAACAUUAAGGUUUUUCACCAUCAUUACUUGGUUAUGGAUGUUAAAUUUUUCUUUGGGUUUUCCCCUUGGAAACUCUUGCUUGCUUUGUUGGUCAAUAAACUAAAGUGUUGGCAUUUUGUCUUAAACAAG
Long non-coding RNA from Cynoglossus semilaevis (tongue sole), 1626 nucleotides. RefSeq lists it as uncharacterized. Lineage: Eukaryota; Metazoa; Chordata; Actinopteri; Pleuronectiformes; Cynoglossidae. The transcript has 3 exons. The record is from RefSeq and is a predicted model, not a curated record.